Molecule: non-coding RNA, 80 nt
Filed under: Oryzias latipes (Japanese medaka)
Lineage: Eukaryota; Metazoa; Chordata; Actinopteri; Beloniformes; Adrianichthyidae
Description: Eukaryotic large subunit ribosomal RNA
Rfam family: Eukaryotic large subunit ribosomal RNA
Source: Rfam by way of RNAcentral
CCCGCUAAAUUUAAGCAGAUGUCUAAGCGGAGGAAAAGAAACUAACCAGGAUUCCCUCAGUAGCGGCUGGCAGAGAGGAA